Trachemys scripta elegans is the source of this 2749-nucleotide long non-coding RNA. RefSeq lists it as uncharacterized. The transcript is spliced from 3 exons. Lineage: Eukaryota; Metazoa; Chordata; Testudines; Emydidae. The record is from RefSeq and is a predicted model, not a curated record.
AUAUGCGCCCGCUGGCACCGCGUUGGGAACCACUGAGCUAGAGGCUUUAGAAGCAUGUGCUGUAACCUCAUGGCCUGGCAACGGCUUACCUCCUUAAUGCUUCUCCUGCUCUGUUUUACUUUUGUAAAGCCAGCUCGCUUAGGCUUUAUGUGGGUGAUGUGAAUUUAAUUCUUAGCAAAGAUUUUAUUUUUAAUCUAACUUCUGAAGCUAAAACACACAGACUAUCAGGUUUAUAGUAUGUGCCAAGUUCACCAUGUUUACUUAUUUAUGCUUAUUUAUAUUGCAAUAAUCAGCUUUCAUCUGGAUGGACACAUUUUGGUUUUAUCUGUGGAAUAUGAGCACAAACAGCACAAGAGAGAAAGGUUUCCACUUCAAUGUUAAGGAGGCCUGGGGACAAAGGCUUUUGGGAUAUAAAGGGCCAGGAAGACCUUCAUUUUGAUCCAACAAACGGACACCAGCUUUUGUCUAGGGAUGGGAAACCCUGCGGAAGGAUUGAAAGGACUGGAACCUGCAGGACUAUAGGACUGAGGGGAGGACUACUGUGAGGUGAGGAUUUACUGAAGUGGGAGCAGCAGGGGGAGCUGAUGCCAAGUUAAGAAGUUUCUGGGCCUGCCAGUAGGUGGAGCAGCAUGAUCUGAAGUCCCUAUGCACCUCCACAGGAAUAGCUAUCCACCACAAAGGAGAGAGAAGAAGGAAACCUGCCACCACCAGCAUCCUCUCUCCAAUGGAGGAAAGACAUCAGCAGGCAGAACCAGUAUGAUACGUAAUACAUAGAGGUUUUGCAUAGCAUUUUCAUUUUGAAAUGUUUUAAAAUCUAAAAUACAGGACAUUUCAUUGGAUAUUUCACAAAUUUCUGAGGAUGGACCUUCCCCGAAUCAUUAUAUCUAUUUGUUUUUCUGUCACUAUAGACUAUCUAUUCUGGUCAUGCCUAAUUGAUCGCUUUUAUAGGAAAUGAUGUGGUCAGGGAUGCGACCCUACCCAAGUAGGCACUUGUGCGUGCACACACAUACACACUACCAUUGUACAUAAAUCUGCAUGGGGACAUGAACUCCUUCAGAUACUUUUCUUCUCUUGUCCUUUAUUGAUACUUCCUGUUGCUGUAAGAUGACGGUGCACUGCGGCUGCAAGACACCACUUCAAGAGCCAUGAUGACAGCCACCAAAAUUGGUAAACACGCCACAUGUUGUAGUUCAAAUCCUAGACUCCAGCCACCUGAAGUGGCUGGGUUGUAUGCUAGGAAUUCUGUAGGUGCUUGGAUGGGGAGGGUCCUCCCAGUGAGCUGCAGUGGAGUAGCCCCUGUUUCUGGUGCACUCUGGCUCCAUGCAUGAGAAUUAGAAAUUGAAUUUUAAUUGGGAUAUCUUCUCAUUACUACUACCAAGCACAUAUUAUGCUCUGUCACAAAGACGUACUUCCAAACAAAACAAUCCCCGCUUUGGUCUCUGAAAUAAAAGGAUAGAUAGUUGUGUGCUGCAAACCUCAGCUCUGUACCCCUUUCUGCGGACACACAUUUCAAGAAGGUUGUUAUGAAUAGUCUCUGUUUCUUUUUUCCCGCUGCAUGUGCGUAUUUCAGAAGCUCAUUAGGAACAGGCUCUAUUGUUAAAGUUCUUUUUCUGGGCUGACUAAUUUAGAUUUUAUACUGAUUUUAAUUUGGGUAAUUUGGAUGAUACAAUGCAGAUGCUUCUGUAAUAAUGCCUUCUUCAUAUCUAUCUUACCUACAAGCAAAUCUGAGAUGUUCAAUUUAUCAGUAAAUCUCAAUGGCAGAUUUGACAAUACUCUUAAUUUUUGACUGAUGGAUUGUCAUUUCUCUCUGACUUUCUUCUUCUUUUAAUUCUAUCAUUUUCUCAAAUUAAAGGUGCAUGAAAGGUGUCAUCCCUUCAAAGUAGUCUUUAUUUGCCAUCAUAUAAAGCUAAUGCAGGCUUUCGCUUUCAAGUUGCCAUCAUUUACAUGGUCUUUCUGGGGAUUUCCUGACCUUAUUUCAGAAUAAAGCAUUUGAUUUUUCAAAAGCCUGUCUUGCACAGCCAGACCACCUUGGUGUUUUAAAAACAUAUUGCAGCUAUUGAAUUUUCAUACCUCAGAGGAUGAAAGAGAAAUUGUUGUGCUCCUGUCAGUCGAGUAAAUCAUGUGUCCUUGAAUUCUUGCUGGGGGAGAGUCAGCUGCAGAAUGGGGACGUGCCAGAUCACAACAUGCUCCUUCCUUUUCCCAAAACGUCUCUCUGAGGAACCUGCUCUAGAAGUAGGGACGGACACCCUUGCAGAAUCUGCAGUAGUUUGUUUUCCCCUUCUCUACGGUUUCUUUAUGUGGCCAAUAGCGGUUAGUAGUCUUUUGAAAGAAGGUUGCUAAAAGAGAAUCUACUAUUUCCCUGUCUUAUAUAAGUGUGACACAUCACUGUAGUAUCUGAGUACCUUGCAAUCUUUAAUACAUUUAUCCUCAUAAUACCCCUGAGAGGUAGAGCAGUACUAUUGUCCCCUUUUACAGAUGGGAGACUGAGGCCCAGAUCCUCAAAGGCAUUUAGGCACCUAAUCAAUGGGAGUUAGGUGCCUAAUUACCUUUGAGGAUCUGGACUAGAGAGACUAAAUGACUUGCUUAAGGUCAUAGAGAAUGUCUGUGGUGGACCUGGGCAUUUUACCUGGGUGUCCCAAGUCCCAGGCUAGCACCCUAACCACUGGUCAGCCUUCCUCUAAUUCUACUUGUUCCUCCUAGGAACAAGCUACAUAUAACAAGGCUCAUAUGCUGUCCAUGCAGUGUUUUU